Long non-coding RNA from Branchiostoma belcheri (Belcher's lancelet), 293 nucleotides. RefSeq lists it as uncharacterized. The transcript has 3 exons. NCBI's taxonomy places the organism in Eukaryota, Metazoa, Chordata, Leptocardii, Amphioxiformes, Branchiostomatidae. The record is from RefSeq and is a predicted model, not a curated record.
UUUUGUCCAACAUUACAGUUACAGCGUAUACCUGGAGACUGAAUUCGAAGUGUCUUCAACGCGAAGACGUCUUCUUUAUCACCGAGAAGUUGACGGAAGCAGCCACCGCAGCUCUGACCAGACUUUCCACCAACUGAGAGGAUGUAGUUUCGUGACUGGUCGGGGGAACUCUGGUGACCACAGCUCCGCUAGUGAAGACCAGCAGAAGCAAGUUGACUGUACAAGUGAUCGAUGAGGCUACAUACAUCGACUUUCCAGAGGACGGUUGCUAUUGAGCACAGAAUUCACCAAAA